CCUACGGGAGGCUGCAGUGGGGAAUAUUACACAAUGGGGGAAACCCUGAUGCAGCAACGCCGCGUGAGCGAUGAAGGCCUUCGGGUCGUAAAGCUCUGUCCUAAGGGAAGAAUACUGACGGUACCUUAGGAGGAAGCCCCGGCUAACUACGUGCCAGCAGCCGCGGUAAUACGUAGGGGGCUAGCGUUAUCCGGAAUUACUGGGCGUAAAGGGUGCGUAGGCGGCCCUUCAAGUCAGAGGUGAAAGGCUACGGCUCAACCGUAGUAAGCCUUUGAAACUGUAGGGCUUGAGUGCAGGAGAGGGGGGUGAAAUUCCAGGGGUAGGGGUGAAAUGCGGAGAUAUGGGGAGGAAAACCAGUUGCGAAGGCGGCUCUCUGGACUGUAACUGACGCUGAGGCACGAAAGCGGGGGGAGCGAACAGGAUUAGAUACCCCGGUAGUC
Molecule: ribosomal RNA, 440 nt
Filed under: uncultured bacterium
Lineage: Bacteria
Description: bacterial SSU rRNA
Rfam family: Bacterial small subunit ribosomal RNA
Source: RNAcentral